RNAcentral lists this ribosomal RNA (450 nucleotides) under Triticum aestivum (bread wheat). RNAcentral's name for it is "partial small subunit ribosomal RNA". Lineage: Eukaryota; Viridiplantae; Streptophyta; Magnoliopsida; Poales; Poaceae. The record is from RNAcentral.
AUGGAUCAUUCCAUCCCUUAUUCCCGUGGCUAUGCAUUGGAUUCAGAUGAUGAAGGUCCGGAUGAACAAGUUGAUGAGGAGGGGUUCACAGUGAAGGAGGCCGAAGCUUUCGAGAAUGUAUUCAAGCGGGAUCAUCAGACUCCAUUGUUCAAGGAUGUUAGUCUCGCGGAUGAAGCCGUGGUAGAUGACGACCAAGGUAUAUCUGUUGGAGUUAGGCCAGGUUCUCAUUGGGAUUUGGAAGACGACAAGAACAAGAUUUCUCCCAGGUCUAAGUUCAGAACCUUCUUGGAAUUGAAGAUGUGGCUGGGCAACUACUCGAUUACGCAUUAUCAUCCACACAAGGUGGUGAACUCGGAUGUCAAUGUGUGCUACAGGUUGCAAGCGAAGAGAAAAAAUGUCCAUGGAUUGUGCGUGCAAGACCAUGGAAAGGAUGGCCCACUUGGCACGUAG